AGAGUUUGAUCCUGGCUCAGGACGAACGCUGGCGGCGCGCCUAACACAUGCAAGUCGAACGAGCGAGAGAGAGCUUGCUUUCUCAAGCGAGUGGCGAACGGGUGAGUAACGCGUGAGGAACCUGCCUCAAAGAGGGGGACAACAGUUGGAAACGACUGCUAAUACCGCAUAAGCCCACGGCUCGGCAUCGAGCAGAGGGAAAAGGAGCAAUCCGCUUUGAGAUGGCCUCGCGUCCGAUUAGCUGGUUGGUGAGGUAAUGGCCCACCAAGGCGACGAUCGGUAGCCGGACUGAGAGGUUGAACGGCCACAUUGGGACUGAGACACGGCCCAGACUCCUACGGGAGGCAGCAGUGGGGAAUAUUGCACAAUGGGGGAAACCCUGAUGCAGCGACGCCGCGUGGAGGAAGAAGGUCUUCGGAUUGUAAACUCCUGUUGUUGAGGAAGAUAAUGACGGUACUCAACAAGGAAGUGACGGCUAACUACGUGCCAGCAGCCGCGGUAAAACGUAGGUCACAAGCGUUGUCCGGAAUUACUGGGUGUAAAGGGAGCGCAGGCGGGAAGACAAGUUGGAAGUGAAAUCCAUGGGCUCAACCCAUGAACUGCUUUCAAAACUGUUUUUCUUGAGUAGUGCAGAGGUAGGCGGAAUUCCCGGUGUAGCGGUGGAAUGCGUAGAUAUCGGGAGGAACACCAGUGGCGAAGGCGGCCUACUGGGCACCAACUGACGCUGAGGCUCGAAAGUGUGGGUAGCAAACAGGAUUAGAUACCCUGGUAGUCCACACUGUAAACGAUGAUUACUAGGGGUUGGAGGGAUUGACCCCUUCAGUGCCGCAGUUAACACAAUAAGUAAUCCACCUGGGGAGUACGACCGCAAGGUUGAAACUCAAAGGAAUUGACGGGGGCCCGCACAAGCAGUGGAGUAUGUGGUUUAAUUCGACGCAACGCGAAGAACCUUACCAAGUCUUGACAUCCUGCGACGGUGCUGGAAACAGUACUUUCCUUCGGGACGCAGAGACAGGUGGUGCAUGGUUGUCGUCAGCUCGUGUCGUGAGAUGUUGGGUUAAGUCCCGCAACGAGCGCAACCCUUAUGGUCAGUUACUACGCAAGAGGACUCUGGCCAGACUGCCGUUGACAAAACGGAGGAAGGUGGGGAUGACGUCAAAUCAUCAUGCCCUUUAUGACUUGGGCUACACACGUACUACAAUGGCGUUAAACAAAGAGAAGCAAGACCGCGAGGUGGAGCAAAACUCAGAAACAACGUCCCAGUUCGGACUGCAGGCUGCAACUCGCCUGCACGAAGUCGGAAUUGCUAGUAAUCGCAGAUCAGCAUGCUGCGGUGAAUACGUUCCCGGGCCUUGCACUCACCGCCCGUCA
This 1371-nucleotide ribosomal RNA is filed under the name uncultured bacterium. Its description in RNAcentral is "bacterial SSU rRNA". It matches the Rfam family "Bacterial small subunit ribosomal RNA". The record is from RNAcentral.